CUAAUCUUUUUUUAUACUGAGCGUAUUGGAACGUUAUCGAUAAGAAGAGAGCGUCUAGGCGAACAAUGUUCUUAAAGUUUGACCUCAAAUCAGGUAGGAGUACCCGCUGAACUUAAGCAUAUCAAUAAGCGGAGGAAAAGAAACCAACCGGGAUUGCCUUAGUAACGGCGAGUGAAGCGGCAAAAGCUCAAAUUUGAAAUCUGGUACCUUCGGUGCCCGAGUUGUAAUUUGGAGAGGGCAACUUUGGGGCCGUUCCUUGUCUAUGUUCCUUGGAACAGGACGUCAUAGAGGGUGAGAAUCCCGUGUGGCGAGGAGUGCGGUUCUUUGUAAAGUGCCUUCGAAGAGUCGAGUUGUUUGGGAAUGCAGCUCUAAGUGGGUGGUAAAUUCCAUCUAAAGCUAAAUAUUGGCGAGAGACCGAUAGCGAACAAGUACAGUGAUGGAAAGAUGAAAAGAACUUUGAAAAGAGAGUGAAAAAGUACGUGAAAUUGUUGAAAGGGAAGGGCAUUUGAUCAGACAUGGUGUUUUGUGCCCUCUGCUCCUUGUGGGUAGGGGAAUCUCGCAUUUCACUGGGCCAGCAUCAGUUUUGGUGGCAGGAUAAAUCCAUAGGAAUGUAGCUUGCCUCGGUAAGUAUUAUAGCCUGUGGGAAUACUGCCAGCUGGGACUGAGGACUGCGACGUAAGUCAA
This 684-nucleotide ribosomal RNA is filed under the name Saccharomyces cerevisiae (brewer's yeast). RNAcentral's name for it is "LSU rRNA". The stretch from base 80 to 684 matches the Rfam family "Eukaryotic large subunit ribosomal RNA", at positions 1 to 609 of the family's 3401-position model. Lineage: Eukaryota; Fungi; Ascomycota; Saccharomycetes; Saccharomycetales; Saccharomycetaceae. The record is from RNAcentral.